GCUCCACACCUAUUAAGCCCACUCAUCCUAAAGCGCAUGCUCCACAACCAGAGAAGCCGCCACAAUGAGCAGCCCGAGCACCACAGUGAGGAGUAGCUGCCACUUGCCACAGCUAGAGAGAAGCCCAAGGAAAGCAGUGAAGACCCAACGCAGCUAAAAAUAGAUAAAACAUUGACGAUGCAGGGAAAUUUUCUAAUUUUUCAUGAAGUACUACGCUGAUCAUUGUGAAACAAUCCCAGGGCUGUCUUCACAAUGAAGGCCUACUAUUGCUAAGUCGCUUCAGUCGUGUCCGACUCUGUGCGACCCCAUAGACGGCAGCCCACCAGGCUCCCCCGUCCCUGGGAUUCUCCAGGCAAGAACACUGGAGUGGGUUGCCAUUUCCUUCUCCAAUGCAUGAAAGUGAAAAGUGAAAGUGAAGUCGCUCAGUCGUGUCUGACUCUUCAUGACCCCAUGGACUGCAGCCCACCAGGCUCCUCCACCCAUGGGAUUUUCCAGGCAAGAGUACUGCAGUGGGGUGCCAUUGCCUUCUCCAAGGCCUACUAUUAGAAAAGACUCUCAGAGUAUGGAUUUUGCAGACUGAAUCCUCAUGGAGUAUUCAACAUAUCAUCUGGCUGCUGGAUUACCUGUAAACUCAAUGCUGGAUCCAGAUGCUAGAUCGGAUGUAGGUUCCUGCUUUUGAAUGACUCUAGGAAGUGGUGCAUUCUUUCGACAGAAGACACAUAUUCAGCUUUCUCUGUUUUGGAGAUGUUAACAGCCACUGAUGCUCACUGCCAAGAUGUGAAGGAGUUGCACAGGGGUGGUAUUCUUUGUUUUAGCUGAACAUUAAAAUAUUCUAAAAUCAAUUUUAUGGAGGUAUAAUUUACACACAAUAAAUA
This is a long non-coding RNA of Bos taurus (domestic cattle), 875 nucleotides long. The record is from Ensembl. Lineage: Eukaryota; Metazoa; Chordata; Mammalia; Artiodactyla; Bovidae.